Molecule: long non-coding RNA, 903 nt
Organism: Hevea brasiliensis (rubber tree)
Lineage: Eukaryota; Viridiplantae; Streptophyta; Magnoliopsida; Malpighiales; Euphorbiaceae
Exons: 2
Source: RefSeq, a predicted model, not a curated record
ACCACACUGAAGGGAAUCCUGAAUUUUUCAAGGAGAAGGUGGAUGUAGAUAUUAUUUGGAUUUCAAACUUUAACGUUUUUAUUGAUUAAGUUCUUAUUUUUAUUUUUUUAACAUUUAGUCUUUUUUCAAACAAAAUUAAGUGAGUAUCCUACACCACUCACUAAAUGCGUGUAGUUGAACAAAAAAGAACAAAAGUUUUUUAUUAUUAAAGAAAACACAAAAUUUCAGAAAAUAAUUAGGAAAGUAAAAAGCUCCACCUUCCUCCAAAGUCUAAAUUAUGCACCUUGAUGAUCUCACUCCCAAUCCCACGGCUUGGCCCUCAAACAUCUUGCAGCUUACAAAUUUGGUGAUGCAUGAUGUGAGGAGAAGCUGUGGUGAUAGCUCCUGAGGUGCAGACUAAAGGGCUGGCCUAGAAGGCGCGAGUGGAACGCCAAACAUCAUUGCCGUUUGUCCAAUGGUCUUACUGGAUUUAUUGCUUCCAAUGGAGGCUCUGAUAUUUUGACCCUUGUUGGACUGCCUGGAGGCUCUUGGGUUGCAUCUGGAAAAAGAAGAUCCUUCAAGCAUGGUCAGAAACAAAUACCUUGCAUGGUUGUCAUGUUGCUAAGAUGAGACUUCUUCGGUUCUGCUAUGAGUAUUUAAGUUUGUGCUGACAGCUGAAAGAUUGGCUUGGUGAUGGUGGCAACGCUGAGGGAUUUCUACGCAAGGAUUAUCAGUUCAUAAUUUAUUUGGGUCAAACAAUACGCAAUGAUGCCCUAGGAUUUCCUAAUUGGGCUUUUGCCACUUUUAUGGGUUUUAAGCACUAAGGUUGGCUGUUGUUAGGCUUUUUUUGGUCUUGUACUCAGUAUUCUAAAUCAAUGAAAUUUGCAUUUGCCUAUUAAAAAAAAAAAAAAAAAUUCUCAUCCA